Myxocyprinus asiaticus (Chinese sucker) is the source of this 1803-nucleotide long non-coding RNA. RefSeq lists it as uncharacterized. Lineage: Eukaryota; Metazoa; Chordata; Actinopteri; Cypriniformes; Catostomidae. The record is from RefSeq and is a predicted model, not a curated record. The transcript has 7 exons.
ACUGCUUAAAGGAGAGUUCUCUGAAGGGAAGACAGGACAGAAGACAGUUGAGAACUUCAGCUGGCUGGAUAAGGCCUUUGAUUAUCAACAGUGCUUGACAACCAGGCUUGCACUGACCCUAAAAGCAGCUUCUCACCAGCUGACUCCAAACAACUCAAUUUUGAUCAGGGGUGUCACAUCUAGACACGAUUUUUGUGGGUGCCCAAAAUUUGCAUUGACCCUAAAUGCUGUGUCUCACCAGUGCCUAGAAACAACUCUAUUUUGGUCUACCAACUGUUUUUGGUUGUUUUGGCGAGUGCCCAACCCUCUGACUGCCAGCAAUAAUUUUAAACAAAGAAUGAAGUUCAGCAUUAAUUUAGCAGGGAUUAACAGUCCCCUGUUGCAAGACAUGCUUAUGUAGAGCAUGUGGGUGAGAAACAGGUUAAUAUUCAAGUCCAUUUUUACUAUAAAUUCGCCACCCUGCCCAGUAGGUGGCGAUAUGCACAAAGAAUGCGAAUCGCCAAAAACAAAAAAAGAAGAAUGUGAAAGUGAAAGUGGAGAUUUAUAUUAAAAAAUGACUUAAAUAUUGAUUUGUUUCUCACCCACACCUAUCAUAUCGCUUCUGAAGACAUGGAUCUAACCACUGGAGUCAUAUGGAUUACUUUUAUGCUGCCUUUAUUUGCUUUUUGGACCUUAAAAGUUCCAGCCACAAAUCAAAAUCAAAUCACAAUAAAGUGAUUUGAUUUGAUUUGAUUUGAAAAGUUCCAGCCACCAUUCACUUGCAUAGCAUGGACCUACAGAGCUGAAAUAUUCUUCUAAAAAUCUUCAUUUGUGUUCAAGAGAAGAAAGAAAGUCAUGCACAUCUAAGAUGACAUAAGGUCCUGCAGUUCUUGGUUGUUCUGUCUGGCCUUCAUGUGUAGAUGGAAUUUGUACUGAGCCGAGCAGAGCUGCAGCAGAUACUGGCAGGUCUUCUGAGUGUCGGUCUGAAACAGACAGUUACGGAAGUCUGGCCAGGCAGGGAGUUCUGCCUAGAAUCCCACUGCAUUUGGACGGUAGCAGGAAUUAUAUGUUUUGAUGGUAUUUGUACCUCAGGCUGAUGUUCUCCAAACUCUGCCUGCAGUGCCAGAGACGCCAAGAUCAUAGCAUUUUCCAUGUCACAGCGCACUCGCUCCUCUAGGAAAUCCUUGCGCAACUGCAAAAAGGUCAUACAGGCUUGGAACAACAUGAGAUACAAAACUAGGUGCAUUCUGAGGCAGACUGAUAAAUUAGCAAGUCAAAGCUGAACUCCUGUACAUGUUUGGACAUGAUCAUCCUUCCAACCAUCAGGCGCCACCUUUGAAAGUUUGGCAUCAGGUUCAACAAAGAAGAACUCGUCAUCUACAGAAAAGAAUAUAGACAAACUGAUUAUUAGAGUUACCGACAUCAUAACAAGCAAAGCAGUCUCUUGAUUGGCGCUGAAGCGUUGGGAAGGAUGAGUCAGAGGACUUAAUGAACCGUCUAUGGACACAAACCAUCCGUGUCCAUUAGAGCUGUCACGCAGAAGCAGUGUGUCAGAGAGAGAACAACAGAAUUAUUUGCUUUGCUAUUACACAUUUCGUAAUCAAAUAACACUGUACUGUUUACCUGGAACAGGUAUCGUUAUAUAAGCUGCAUUAAAUCAUGUACUGCUAAAUAUCAGUUAGGUUUUUUUUUCUCUGCAUUAUUCUGCAUUCACAAUGUAACUUGCAUUAAGUGAUUUCAAACCGAGUCCAGUUCAAUCGGAUUACUUUAACUUCAUCACCCCACCAAAAUGAAACUACACUCCUACCAAAAGCAAGAUACUUA